RNA transcript from Humulus lupulus (European hop), 1605 nucleotides. It is a transcript of the gene named probable alpha-mannosidase At5g66150, with no coding region annotated. NCBI's taxonomy places the organism in Eukaryota, Viridiplantae, Streptophyta, Magnoliopsida, Rosales, Cannabaceae. The transcript has 11 exons. The record is from RefSeq and is a predicted model, not a curated record.
AACAGCCCGAUAGUCAACAUCCACCUCCAUCAUAGCCUUUGUUUCUCUCCAUCUCCAUCUUCUCUAUCUAGAUAUACACUACUUUCUCUUUCACUCUUCCACCUCUUCAGUUCUCAUUCACUUUCUUUCUCUUCAUCUCCACGCCACUCUUUCGCCUCGACCCCCUCUCUCUUUCGUCACUUUCAUUCCUCUGCCUCUCUCUCCCUCCUCGACGAAGCCCUAAUGCUCUCAGUAAGAGCAUGACUAUGAACGGGAGAAGCUCAGCGAGACACUUGCAAAAAAUUUCAGUGGUGUUUCUGUGAUACAAGUAAACACUAGAGACAUAUUAAAGAUGGUUCUCACCAGAGCUUACACACUUGGGCCAAACCAAUAUUGAAACAAGGAGAAAUUGAAAAACUGAUUGAUCCAAAGCUGGGAGGGGCCUAUGAUGUUACUUAGCUGAAAAGACUUGCCUUUGCUGCAUCACUUUGCAUAAGGUCACUCACAAAAUGGUGGCCGACCAUCACCAAGGUAUUGAUACUAGCCUUGUUUUUCGAAUUCAGAGUCGUUGGCACUGCAUGAAAUAACAGGAAAGACUAGGAUGAGUCUUUCCUCAUUCAUUGAGCUGUGUGUUUGAAUUGGCGUGAAGAUAUAGAUGUUCCUUGCCUUAUCGUAUAUAUGGAUUCUGAUUAGACCGCAUCCAGCAAUUUGGCGCUUAUCUCAUGGUAUGGCUGUUGUUUACCUUGUUGCUCACACAUUUUUUCUUUUUCAGUAAACAGGAAUUUACUCUCCAAGAUAAAGAAUCCACAAAAUGAUACCAUUGAAGUUGGACCUAGAGAUUUAAAGCUGACCUUUUUGUCUACCUCAGGACAACUAAAACAGAUGUACAAUUCUAAAACUGAGACUGAUGAUUGGAAGGUUAUGGUUUGUUGAGAAAAGAACAAUGACAAGAAGCAGAGAGAUUGAGUCAUGUUAUGAUUGAAUCAAAAGAUUGUACCGAGUAUUUUGUGUCUUGGAAAGGAGCUAUAUAUAGAUACUGCAAGUCAUGUUUUUGUUGUCUUUGCUUCAACUGCUAAUCAGGGAAUACGUUUAUUUCCAAGAAAGUUGACAACAAGAAGAAAAAGAAACUUAAGAAGGUGGAAGAUAAGAUGCUUGGAUGGGGUGGUCGUGAUGAUGCAAAGUUGUCUAUUCCAGCUACUGUUGUUCUUCGUUAUAUGUUCAUGCCUACUGAAAUGAGGCAAAAUGCAUUGCUUGGAGUGGCUACAAAUGAUGAUGGAAAGCAAGUGGAGGAAGAUGCUAGAUAUCCACCAUGGGUGCAAUGUUGCCUGAAAUCUCAUUAUCUGGAUAAAUAUGAUAUUUGGGGAAGUCGACAGUAUCAAAUAUUUAGCACUAGAUUGGUGGUUAUUAGGAUAGAUACUCAUUGUUUUGUAUGUUGGUUGGAAAUUGUAUAGCAUGUUAGUUUUACCAUGUGAUUUAAGAUUUAUUGGUUUAAGUUUUCGGGUCUUUGUCUCCUAGGAGCUAUAAUAUAAUUUGAUGACAAUGUUGAAUGUUUUGAACUAAUUUGUGGAUUGUUAAUACAAUGUUGAAUGCUUUUUACUUUUUGUUAUUUGAAAAUCAAGUUCAUUU